AGACCGACUUUUUUGUUCUCUUUUUUCUUCCUCCUGCUUUCUAAACAGCCUCCUUCAUUCCCUCAGAUGACUGCCUCCUUAACUGCGGCUCUUCCUCCAACGCCACCUUCUUCAUCGGAGAUUUCAAUUCCGGCUCGGGUUUUGUCUUCAACAACAAAAUCCCACCUCCAAACUCACCCUCUCCUUACCACACAGCAAGAGGUCUCACCACUGCUUCAAGCUAUAGCUUAAGCAUCAGGAAAAUUGGAACUCACUUGCUUUGACGAUAUAAUGGAACCUGUGCUGAUUCGUGCAAUGGAAUCUUACAAAUGUCAUUAUAAGAUCAGAGUUCGAAUAUCAAGAUUGUGGAGAGCAAAAAGUACAAUACUGACAAAAAUGAUGGUCUGCAAUGCGUUUUGGUUGAUGAAAUGGGUGAUGCAGUUCAUGCAAUUGUAACUGAAUCUGAUUACCACUUGGUUCACAAAAAAUUGCAUCAAGGUAAAGUGUAUGAUAUUGAUCAUUUCUUUACACGAAAAAGCCAGGAGAGUUACAAAAUUGUUGAUCAUUAAGUGCAAGUGUACUUCAAUGCAAAGACUGUCUUUGAACCAGUUGAAGAAAGCUUCCCACCAAUUCCACAACAUCGGUUCUAUUUUGUAGAUUUUGACCAGCUGAGGGCACGCAUUAACAACAAUACAAUUCUCUCAGUCAGUUCUACCAGUGCAUCAAGCUCCUGUCAAGGAUAAAGAGGAAUCAAAAUGUGAAAUUUAUCUACAAAACUUAAGAAGAGAAGAUCUUAUAGUCACUCUCUGGGGUAACAUUGCCAGACAGUUUGACAUACAGAGCAUUAAAAAACUGUCUCCACCAGUGCUCAUAGUGUUGACCAGUUUAAAGAUUAAGGAGCUCAUGGGCUGCUGUUGCUGUUAAUGAGAAGCUCGAUUGCUGGUACCUCUGUCUUAACACAGUAGAAAGCACCGCAUUCUGAGACCUCGAUGAUCGAUUGGACCGGUUUCAAGUAUCGUUUGAAAGCCUUCUUUACUAUUCAUUUUGGGAAACUUUUAAACUUUUGAUUUUGUGAAAUUGAGCUCAUUUGAUCAAAUCGGAGGAUCCGAUUGAGCAAUCAGAGAUAUAUGAAAGACUCCAGUUCUAGGUGAUAGCUGAGAGAGUGAUUUAAAAUAGAAAAGAGAGCAGCAGGCGAAGGAACAGUGAUUUUGGGUGAUGUCACAUCGAUCUCCCAGUUUUGGUAGUUGAUCGAUAGACACAGAGAGAGGGUUCGAUCGAUAGACUAAAGGAGAGAGGGGUAGAGCACCAGUUUGAUCAUAGAGAUGGAAAGAGGCUUUAUCACCUGCUCGGGACAUCAACUUGAAGCUUGAGCAAGUGAAGGAAAGUACUACCUUUUAGGCAAUCUGGAGCAGGAAGCAAGGUGAUAUGACAACACCAGCUUAAACUAAGCAACAGCAACAUGAGAUGAAUAUCCCUACACAUCGUUUAUCAAUAUUGUAUACCUUUAAGUUUUAGGGUUUAUCAACUUUGAUUUGAAAUUAUUGAUUCUGGGGACAAAUUCGUGUGACAUAUCCUAAUUAUAAAGCUAAAGAAUUCAAAAGCUGUACCGACCGCAAAGGCUACGGCUACGUAAUUAUGAUAUAACAGAAAUCCCCGCGGCAAAGCGCGGGCGCUAUU
This is a long non-coding RNA of Rosa rugosa (rugosa rose), 1656 nucleotides long. RefSeq lists it as uncharacterized. NCBI's taxonomy places the organism in Eukaryota, Viridiplantae, Streptophyta, Magnoliopsida, Rosales, Rosaceae. The transcript is spliced from 8 exons. The record is from RefSeq and is a predicted model, not a curated record.